Molecule: long non-coding RNA, 2056 nt
Organism: Gadus morhua (Atlantic cod)
Lineage: Eukaryota; Metazoa; Chordata; Actinopteri; Gadiformes; Gadidae
Source: Ensembl
CGACAGCUGGUAGGAAAUCCUACUACACCGCCAGGUCACAUGGUCCCACCCCCCAAACACACGCACACACACACACACACACACACACACACACACACACACACACACACACACACACACACACACACACACACACACACUAAUGCGUGUACAGUAUCAAAAGAGGGAGGGGGAAGGGAGGCAUCGGGGCUAAGAGAGCGAAGGAGGAGGGAAGGAGAGGAGACCGAGGGAGGGUGGGAGGGAGGGGUGGAUGAAAGGAAAUCCACAGCAUGAGCGAAGCUUACAACCGCCUCGGUGACGGAGGAGGAGCAGCAGGGACGAGACAGCAGCGUGGAACAGAUAGCGGUCCACCGCGGCGAGCAGCACCACGACCUGAUGUCUUUAUCAUAUCUCUCCCUCGCCCUUCGUCUCGUUCUCAUCUGAUCCAGAUUGGGCGAGCCGGCGGGAGAGACGCGGAAAGUUAGUUGAGGGGCGGCGCCGAGAGCUUUCCAGAGGGGGGCCGGCUCCCUGGAGCGUAUCCCGGGAGGACAUCUGUGACAGGGGUGACAGAAGACUGGCUGGUGGUGGCGGGAGGGAGAGGUGUGUGUGAGGGCUCCUCGCAAGGUCCUCAGACACUUGUGUGUUGCCACCUUGCAGCGUGCUUGAGGGAGUGUGUGUCUGUGUGUGUGUGUGUGUGUGUGUGUGUGCUUGUGUGUUUGUGGAUGCGUGUGAGCGCGAGUGUGAGGAGUGAGGUGAGGCGGUCACCUGUUCAUUACACGCCAUGCCACAGAUGAGGACCUGGGAGUCCUGCUGAAGAGACAACCAUGGCUAAGGCUAAAGGACAUGGAGACGGCAUGGUGUCGUCCAACGAGAACCGCCCCCGGCCGCUGUCGUCGGGCGGGGUGGAGGGUCUGUCCUGGCCUGGCCCACGGACCCUGCUGCUCCAGAAGAACUCCCUGGGCUUCGGAUUCACGCUGCGCCACUUCAUCGUCUACCCCCCAGAGUCCUCCCUGCAGAGCCCCCUCAAGGUGACCCAACGUCUGGUGGACCUCAGCACCAUAUCACACUGUGGAUAUAGAUAUACAGUAUACACAUAGGGCUGCACUGGAGUCCCCGACUCCCCACCCCAGACCUGAAGGGACCUGGGCCUCUGGUCUUACCACCACAUAAUACUGUAGAUAUAUAAAUAUAGAGCUGCGUCAGAGUCCUCCCUCCAGUGGCUGACGGCCCUACGUCAUCUUCGCCAUUUAUCCAUCAUUGAGGUCAAUUGAGAUUUGAUCAAAGAAAGUGAUCGAUUGAUCGGCUAAUAGUUCCAGUAUAUUAAAGUAUAUGAUAUAUAAUACAGUAUGUUAUUUUUUAUCUACUGGAGAAAGAAUUAGUUUUGGUGAUUUAUUUAUAAGACUUUUGAGUCCUUUUUUAAACCGGUUUAAACAUGCCUCUGACCAGAGGGAUACGGUUAAACUGGAGUAUUGGAAGAUGGGUAGACCGUCCCAUCAAUGAUACCAGUUCAAUUCUCCUUCCACACAGUAACAGUAACACAUGGUCUGGUACAUGACGCCGGUGCACUUAGCCAUGUUACUGCUAAUCUGAUAAGCUAACCUAGCUAAGGGGUUAAACCUUUGCCACCUGACGGGGUCAGGAAGUCCCACAACAACACUUUUAAUGCGGACCACUGCAUGAUACUAUAGCUACUAUGGCAUCACGUAUAGUGUAGCAUUCACCAUCCAUGUUACUGUAAUGAAUGGACCUCUCCGAGCCCGGACAGCACCUCAAAGGGAGUAUUUUUUGUAUCGUAGCCCACUACGCGAACAACCUUGUUUGAGGCAUUUAAAACAUGCAUCUGUCGAUGCUUGUAGCAUUUAGGAGCGCGGCCAUGUUUUUGUUAAGGCUUUGCUCACUCCUCCUCGUGACAAGGAUAUUUUCCAAGGGGUGUGGGGGUUAAAAUCACUACACUACAAGCACUACAUCACUUUUCAUCUGAAAUGAGUUCUAGUGUUUUGUUUGCACACAGACAUAUACACAGAGAUAAACACUAAAUAUAUGGGCAUGGGCUCCUUUUAAAGAAAUGUUAAACUGU